Molecule: transfer RNA, 73 nt
Organism: Ovis aries (sheep)
Lineage: Eukaryota; Metazoa; Chordata; Mammalia; Artiodactyla; Bovidae
Rfam family: tRNA
About the family: Transfer RNA (tRNA) molecules are approximately 80 nucleotides in length. Their secondary structure includes four short double-helical elements and three loops (D, anti-codon, and T loops).
Source: Rfam
UCCCUGGUGGUCCAGUGGUUAAGACUCUGCACUUCCAACGCACGGGACGCAGGUUUGAUCCCUGGUUGGGGAA